Molecule: ribosomal RNA, 301 nt
Filed under: uncultured bacterium
Lineage: Bacteria
Description: partial 16S ribosomal RNA
Rfam family: Bacterial small subunit ribosomal RNA
Source: RNAcentral
CAGUCGCCACGGUAAUACAGAGGGUGCGAGCGUUAAUCGGAUUUACUGGGCGUAAAGCGUGCGUAGGCGGCUUUUUAAGUCGGAUGUGAAAUCCCUGAGCUUAACUUAGGAAUUGCAUUCGAUACUGGGAAGCUAGAGUAUGUGAGAGGAUGGUAGAAUUCCAGGUGUAGCGGUGAAAUGCGUAGAGAUCUGGAGGAAUACCGAUGGCGAAGGCAGCCAUCUGGCCUAAUACUGACGCUGAGGUACGAAAGCAUGGGGAGCAAACAGGAUUAGAUACCCGAGUAGUCCCUGUCUCUUAUAC